Molecule: non-coding RNA, 99 nt
Organism: Marasmius tenuissimus
Lineage: Eukaryota; Fungi; Basidiomycota; Agaricomycetes; Agaricales; Marasmiaceae
Source: the annotation of a GenBank genome assembly
GCCCGCCUAGCUCAAUCGGAUAGAGCGUCAGACUUUUAAGAAGUCCUUUGGUGGGCAAUAAUAAUCUGAAGGCUGCGAGUUCGACCCUCGCGGUGGGCU